ACCAGGAUGGCCGAGUGGUUAAGGCGUUGGACUUAAGAUCCAAUGGGCAAAUGCCCGCGUGGGUUCGAACCCCACUCCUGGUA
This 83-nucleotide transfer RNA is filed under the name Astyanax mexicanus (Mexican tetra). It matches the Rfam family "tRNA". Rfam says of the family: Transfer RNA (tRNA) molecules are approximately 80 nucleotides in length. Their secondary structure includes four short double-helical elements and three loops (D, anti-codon, and T loops). Lineage: Eukaryota; Metazoa; Chordata; Actinopteri; Characiformes; Acestrorhamphidae. The record is from Rfam by way of RNAcentral.